AGUUUGAUCCUGGCUCAGGAUGAACGCUGGCGGCGUGCUUAACACAUGCAAGUCGAACGAGCCUUCGGGCUAGUGGCGGACGGGUGAGUAACGCGUGGGAAUCUGCCCUCAGGAGGGGGAUAACGGCCGGAAACGGCCGCUAAUACCCCAUAUGCCGAGAGGUGAAAUGAAUUUCGCCUGAGGAUGAGCCCGCGUCUGAUUAGCUAGUUGGUGUGGUAAUGGCGCACCAAGGCUUCGAUCAGUAGCUGGUCUGAGAGGAUGAUCAGCCACACUGGGACUGAGACACGGCCCAGACUCCUACGGGAGGCAGCAGUGGGGAAUUUUCCGCAAUGGGCGCAAGCCUGACGGAGCAACGCCGCGUGAGGGACGAAGGCCUCUGGGCUGUAAACCUCUUUUCUCAAGGAAGAAGACAUGACGGUACUUGAGGAAUAAGCCACGGCUAAUUCCGUGCCAGCAGCCGCGGUAAUACGGGAGUGGCAAGCGUUAUCCGGAAUUAUUGGGCGUAAAGCGUCCGCAGGCGGCCCAGCAAGUCUGUUGUUAAAAGGUGGAGCUUAACUCCAUCCAGGCAAUGGAAACUGCUGGGCUAGAGUGUGGUAGGGGCAGAGGGAAUUCCCGGUGUAGCGGUGAAAUGCGUAGAUAUCGGGAAGAACACCAGUGGCGAAGGCGCUCUGCUGGGCCAUAACUGACGCUCAUGGACGAAAGCCAGGGGAGCGAAAGGGAUUAGAUACCCCUGUAGUCCUGGCCGUAAACGAUGAACACUAGGUGUCGGGGGAAUCGACCCCCUCGGUGUCGUAGCCAACGCGUUAAGUGUUCCGCCUGGGGAGUACGCACGCAAGUGUGAAACUCAAAGGAAUUGACGGGGGCCCGCACAAGCGGUGGAGUAUGUGGUUUAAUUCGAUGCAACGCGAAGAACCUUACCAGGGUUUGACAUCCUGCGAAUCCCUUGGAAACUUGGGAGUGCCUUCGGGAGCGCAGUGACAGGUGGUGCAUGGCUGUCGUCAGCUCGUGUCGUGAGAUGUUGGGUUAAGUCCCGCAACGAGCGCAACCCACGUCUUUAGUUGCCAGCAUUCAGUUGGGCACUCUAGAGAGACCGCCGGUGAUAAACCGGAGGAAGGUGUGGAUGACGUCAAGUCAUCAUGCCCCUUACAUCCUGGGCUACACACGUACUACAAUGCUACGGACAAAGGGCAGCAAACUCGCGAGAGCUAGCAAAUCCCAUAAACCGUGGCUCAGUUCAGAUCGUAGGCUGCAACUCGCCUACGUGAAGGAGGAAUCGCUAGUAAUCGCAGGUCAGCAUACUGCGGUGAAUACGUUCCCGGGCCUUGUACACACCGCCCGUCACACCAUGGAAGUUGGCCAUGCCCGAAGUCGUUACUCCAACCGUUAGGGAGGAGGACGCCGAAGGUGGGGCUGAUGACUGGGGUGAAGUCGUAACAAGGUAGCCGU
RNAcentral lists this ribosomal RNA (1446 nucleotides) under Synechococcus-like str. P211. RNAcentral describes it as "bacterial SSU rRNA". It matches the Rfam family "Bacterial small subunit ribosomal RNA". The record is from RNAcentral. Lineage: Bacteria; Bacillati; Cyanobacteriota.